Neofelis nebulosa (Clouded leopard) is the source of this 359-nucleotide long non-coding RNA. RefSeq lists it as uncharacterized. The record is from RefSeq and is a predicted model, not a curated record. Lineage: Eukaryota; Metazoa; Chordata; Mammalia; Carnivora; Felidae. The transcript has 3 exons.
GCUGUGAACUACUAGAAUAUCAGGGUCUUGGCCUCUGGCCAUGAAGCUGAGGACUGUUGGUCCUGUCCUUUGGAAACAGCCAUUUGGAACUAGCCUCUCCAAAGCCAACUUGUUGCUAUGUGUGAAAUUUUCCAGGAAGUGAGCCACUUCAUGCUUUUAACCCCCAAGGAAGUUGAUAGGUUUUGCAUUCCACUCCCCGAAAGAUUCAAGAUACUGAAGAGACAAGAAGGAAAAAGGCACUCAGGAAGGAAAAACCUUCCAAGAGGAGGAGAUAUUUCAGUGGGCUUUUGACAGUUCCAGAUGUACUGUUGUAUCAAGAGAAAUGCUGCCACUCAUCUGAGGUCCUUCUCUUCUGCAAG